GAUGAACGCUAGCGGCAGGCCUAACACAUGCAAGUCGAGGGGUAAGUUACUGUCCGGUAACUGAGACCGGCGUACGGGUGCGUAACGCGUAUACAAUCUGCCUUUCACUGGGGGAUAGCCCGAAGAAAUUUGGAUUAAUACCCCAUAGUAUAGUAAUGUGGCAUCACACAACUAUUAAAUCUUAGGUGGUGUAAGAUGAGUAUGCGUUCUAUUAGCUAGUUGGAGAGGUAACGGCUCGCCAAGGCUAUGAUAGAUAGGGGUUCUGUGAGGGAUGUCCUCCACACUGGUACUGAGAUACGGACCAGACGCCUACGGGAAGCAGCAGUGAGGAAGAUUGGGAAAUGGUCGGAAGACUGAUCCAGCCAUGCCGCGUGCAGGAUGAAGGUAUUAUGGAUUGUAAACUGCAGUUGUGAGGGAAGAAUAAGGACUACGUGUAGUUUGAUGACGGUAACUAAUGAAUAAGCAACGGCUAACUCCGUG
Molecule: ribosomal RNA, 480 nt
Filed under: uncultured bacterium
Lineage: Bacteria
Description: partial 16S ribosomal RNA
Rfam family: Bacterial small subunit ribosomal RNA
Source: RNAcentral